RNAcentral lists this ribosomal RNA (253 nucleotides) under uncultured bacterium. RNAcentral's name for it is "partial 16S ribosomal RNA". It matches the Rfam family "Bacterial small subunit ribosomal RNA", at positions 524 to 776 of the family's 1533-position model. The record is from RNAcentral.
UACGAAGGGGGCUAGCGUUGCUCGGAAUCACAGGGCGUAAAGGGUGCGUAGGCGGGUCUUUAAGUCAGGGGUGAAAUCCUGGAGCUCAACUCCAGAACUGCCUUUGAUACUGAAGAUCUUGAGUGCGGGAGAGGUGAGUGGAACUGCGAGUGUAGAGGUGAAAUUCGUAGAUAUUCGCAAGAACACCAGUGGCGAAGGCGGCUCACUGGCCCGAUACUGACGCUGAGGCACGAAAGCGUGGGGAGCAAACAGG